RNAcentral lists this ribosomal RNA (468 nucleotides) under uncultured bacterium. Its description in RNAcentral is "partial 16S ribosomal RNA". It matches the Rfam family "Bacterial small subunit ribosomal RNA", at positions 28 to 506 of the family's 1533-position model. The record is from RNAcentral.
GACGAACGCUGGCGGCGUGCUUAACACAUGCAAGUCGAACGCUGAAGCACCAGCUUGCUGGUGUGGAUGAGUGGCGAACGGGUGAGUAAUACGUGAGUAACCUGCCCUUGACUCUGGGAUAAGCCCGGGAAACUGGGUCUAAUACUGGAUGCUACAUGUCACCGCAUGGUGGUGUGUGGAAAGGGUUUACUGGUCUUGGAUGGGCUCACGGCCUAUCAGCUUGUUGGUGAGGUAAUGGCUCACCAAGGCGACGACGGGUAGCCGGCCUGAGAGGGUGACCGGCCACACUGGGACUGAGACACGGCCCAGACUCCUACGGGAGGCAGCAGUGGGGAAUAUUGCACAAUGGGCGAAAGCCUGAUGCAGCGACGCCGCGUGAGGGAUGACGGCCUCGGGUUGUAAACCUCUUUCAGCAGGGAAGAAGCCACAAGUGACGGUACCUGCAGAAGAAGCGCCGGCUAACUACGU